Molecule: small RNA, 737 nt
Filed under: Arabidopsis thaliana (thale cress)
Lineage: Eukaryota; Viridiplantae; Streptophyta; Magnoliopsida; Brassicales; Brassicaceae
Description: ATSL051130
Source: RNAcentral
AUACACGUCUACGUGGGCACCAAUAUUUCCCCAAUCACAUGGAAACCCACAUGUCUUGACGAUUUUUUUUCAUUGUUUUUUUCUUAUUAAUGCAUUUUCAAAAAAUUUUAAGAGUGAUUUGUAGAAAUAACCAAUUUUGAAAUAGUUAUUAAAUUUAUAGUAUCAUAAAUUUGGAAAUUAAGUGAGUAGCAUAAGUAGUACUUGAAAAUACAUAAAAAAUCUUAUUACAAAAAACAAUGAGGCGUACGUGAGGCUCUGAGAACUAAAGAGAGGAGAGUGGAGAGAGAGGAGAGAAAGAGAGAUACGUUGGAAAGAGAUAGAAAGGAAGAAGAAAAAAUUAAAUUUUAAUAUAAUGUAUAAGAAAUCCAAAACAACAAAAGUUUCAGAUUUCUCAUUUUAAAUUCUAUUGCAUUCAAUGAACCUUUAAUCCAAUUUUAACAGUGACAAAAAGAAACGAUGGCUCAAGCAAGAGAGGAAGAAGAAAAAGAAGGAAGUGAAGUCAAUUAAAAAAAGGGAAGAAGAAGAAGAGCGUGAACUUCAAACAGAAGCUACAAAUGUCUUUAUUACAUAUAUUAUACUAAAUAUUGCUUUGUUUUUUUUGAAGUGAUAGUUUGUUAAUUAUUGAUUUUUAAUCUUUAGAUGUUUUUACAUUUUAGUUAUAACCUUCAGGAUAGAAUCAUAAUUUUAUGAUUCUAUCCCGUUGUUUUAAUUAUCAAAGUUCUUUUUGUGAUCUUUAU